Molecule: transfer RNA, 76 nt
Filed under: uncultured Thermomicrobiales bacterium
Lineage: Bacteria; Pseudomonadati; Thermomicrobiota; Thermomicrobia; Thermomicrobiales
Description: tRNA-Thr-CGT
Rfam family: tRNA
About the family: Transfer RNA (tRNA) molecules are approximately 80 nucleotides in length. Their secondary structure includes four short double-helical elements and three loops (D, anti-codon, and T loops).
Source: RNAcentral
GCCGGCCUAGCUCAGUUGGUAGAGCAGCUGUUUCGUAAACAGCAGGUCGCCGGUUCGAGUCCGGCGGUCGGCUCCC